Molecule: ribosomal RNA, 656 nt
Filed under: uncultured bacterium
Lineage: Bacteria
Description: bacterial SSU rRNA
Rfam family: Bacterial small subunit ribosomal RNA
Source: RNAcentral
UGCAAGUCGAACGAAGCACUUUAUUUGAUUUCCUUCGGGACUGAUUAUUUUGUGACUGAGUGGCGGACGGGUGAGUAACGCGUGGGUAACCUGCCUUGUACAGGGGGAUAACAGUUGGAAACGGCUGCUAAUACCGCAUAAGCGCACGGCAUCGCAUGAUGCAGUGUGAAAAACUCCGGUGGUAUAAGAUGGACCCGCGUUGGAUUAGCUAGUUGGUGAGGUAACGGCCCACCAAGGCGACGAUCCAUAGCCGACCUGAGAGGGUGACCGGCCACAUUGGGACUGAGACACGGCCCAAACUCCUACGGGAGGCAGCAGUGGGGAAUAUUGCACAAUGGGCGAAAGCCUGAUGCAGCGACGCCGCGUGAGCGAAGAAGUAUUUCGGUAUGUAAAGCUCUAUCAGCAGGGAAGAUAAUGACGGUACCUGACUAAGAAGCACCGGCUAAAUACGUGCCAGCAGCCGCGGUAAUACGUAUGGUGCAAGCGUUAUCCGGAUUUACUGGGUGUAAAGGGAGCGCAGGCGGUGCGGCAAGUCUGAUGUGAAAGCCCGGGGCUCAACCCCGGUACUGCAUUGGAAACUGUCGUACUAGAGUGUCGGAGGGGUAAGCGGAAUUCCUAGUGUAGCGGUGAAAUGCGUAGAUAUUAGGAGGAACACC